Molecule: non-coding RNA, 87 nt
Organism: Gossypium raimondii (Peruvian cotton)
Lineage: Eukaryota; Viridiplantae; Streptophyta; Magnoliopsida; Malvales; Malvaceae
Source: Rfam
CACGUCUGUGCGCUUUGCUGACGUGGCAACCAAUCGCGUCCACGAUAGGGCGAUUUGUUGCCACGUCAGCAAAGCGCGCUGACGUGG